This is a long non-coding RNA of Astatotilapia calliptera (eastern happy), 1087 nucleotides long. The record is from Ensembl. NCBI's taxonomy places the organism in Eukaryota, Metazoa, Chordata, Actinopteri, Cichliformes, Cichlidae.
CUUGGCUACAAGUGUGGUACUAAACAAACAAGCUUACCUGUUCUUUGUUUUAAGUGGUCUGGAGUAAAACAGAAUAAGACUGCCAGCAACAGCUUAGUUGUGGUGAACUGUAUGUCACUAAGACCUCUGUGCUGUAAAACUUUACAACCCUAAUAAGAUUAGAAAAAAAGAACCUGGUAAUGAGAGGCCGUCUCUGUAGGCUAGGCAGUUUCCAGGAAAUGAGGUCACAAGCAAGAUGAAAUUAUUUCUGAGAAAUUAAGGUGUGCAUUUCUUCCAUUCUUCUUUACUUUGCACCUAACUCAUGCUCCCAAUCUCCUAUCUAUUCACAGAAUGUGAGUGAAGUGGGUAGUUCCUGAAAGCAUUACAAGGUAGAAAAUAUCCCUAUUUUUGCAAUUGCUCCUGGCAUUAACUGUCCAACUUUUUCGUCUCGUGGAAAAAAAUGGAAAAAAUGAGUGAUUUUAUGCUGGAGCCUUGGGUGUGCAUGAUUCAUGAGUUGAAUUUCUUGGUAUAGAGUCCCUCAGGUUGAGAAUGACUGGAUUGCUCUGCCCAGCCUGAACUGACAUGCAAAGCAGUUGCGAUGCCAAAGCAGCAACACCAAAGCUUUUUGCCUGGAGUAGGAUUUGUUGUGACAUAACUGGUUAGUCAAGCUUUGAAAAACAAGCUAGAAGCUUAAUUUCCCUUGGCAUAUUUCUUUAUUUUUUUAUUUCUUUAUUUUAUUUUAAUUUUUUGCAUUGGCCUCUUCAUACCAUCUGGUGUCGCAGUAUACCUUGUGCUACAAGUCCUUCAACAAACUACAGCAAAAGAACUGGGCAGAAAGUCAUGUCAAGGUGGCUGCUUUCAGAAUUCAUUUCUGAUAUUGCAUUUAAAGCAUAUAAAAAGACAGAAGAUUGGAAUGAAAAGAUUUAUCUUUAACUCUCUUUAUCUUCAGUAACAUACAAAUGGCUAUAGAAGUUUGCAAGUCUAUAGGCCUGUUAUUCAUUGGAGCGGAGAAGGAGAUCAGAAAAGUCAAUUUUACCUUCUGUUGCUCAUUAUAUGAAGAUUAAUGGGCACUUGGGCAAUGGACAGACUUUAAAAUAUAAUGUAUAUA